RNAcentral lists this ribosomal RNA (440 nucleotides) under uncultured bacterium. RNAcentral describes it as "bacterial SSU rRNA". It matches the Rfam family "Bacterial small subunit ribosomal RNA", at positions 339 to 796 of the family's 1533-position model. The record is from RNAcentral.
CUACGGGAGGCAGCAGUGGGGAAUAUUGGACAAUGGGCGCAAGCCUGAUCCAGCCAUGCCGCGUGAGUGAUGACGGCCUUAGGGUUGUAAAGCUCUUUCACCGGUGAAGAUAAUGACGGUAACCGGAGAAGAAGCCCCGGCUAACUUCGUGCCAGCAGCCGCGGUAAUACGAAGGGGGCUAGCGUUGUUCGGAAUUACUGGGCGUAAAGCGCACGUAGGCGGAUAUUUAAGUCAGGGGUGAAAUCCCGGGGCUCAACCCCGGAACUGCCUUUGAUACUGGAUAUCUCGAGUCCGGAAGAGGUGAGUGGAACUCCGAGUGUAGAGGUGAAAUUCGUAGAUAUUCGGAAGAACACCAGUGGCGAAGGCGGCUCACUGGACCAUAACUGACGCUGAGGCGCGAAAGCGUGGGGAGCAAACAGGAUUAGAUACCCCGGUAGUCC